UUUAAUGAGAGUUUGAUCCUGGCUCAGGACGAACGCUGGCGGCGUGCCUAAUACAUGCAAGUAGAACGCUGAUGUUUGGUGUUUACACUAGACUGAUGAGUUGCGAACGGGUGAGUAACGCGUAGGUAACCUGCCUCAUAGCGGGGGAUAACUAUUGGAAACGAUAGCUAAUACCGCAUAAGAGUGAUUAACACAUGUUAGUUAUUUAAAAGGAGCAAUUGCUUCACUGUGAGAUGGACCUGCGUUGUAUUAGCUAGUUGGU
Molecule: ribosomal RNA, 262 nt
Filed under: Streptococcus agalactiae STIR-CD-25
Lineage: Bacteria; Bacillati; Bacillota; Bacilli; Lactobacillales; Streptococcaceae
Description: partial 16S ribosomal RNA
Rfam family: Bacterial small subunit ribosomal RNA
Source: RNAcentral